This 457-nucleotide ribosomal RNA is filed under the name uncultured bacterium. Its description in RNAcentral is "bacterial SSU rRNA". It matches the Rfam family "Bacterial small subunit ribosomal RNA", at positions 340 to 786 of the family's 1533-position model. The record is from RNAcentral.
UACGGAAGGCAGCAGUGGGGAAUAUUGCACAAUGGGCGCAAGCCUGAUGCAGCCAUGCCGCGUGUAUGAAAAAGGCCUUCGGGUUGUAAAGUACUUUCAGUCGUGAGGAAGGUGUUAAGGUUAAUAACCUUAGCAAUUGACGUUAGCGACAGAAGAAGCACCGGCUAACUCCGUGCCAGCAGCCGCGGUAAUACGGAGGGUGCGAGCGUUAAUCGGAAUUACUGGGCGUAAAGGGCACGCAGGCGGUUAAUUAAGUUGGAUGUGAAAUCCCCGGGCUUAACCUGGGAAUGGCAUUUCAAGACUGGUUAGCUAGAGUCUUGUAGAGGGGGUAGAAUUCCAUGUGUAGCGGUGAAAUGCGUAGAGAUGUGGAGGAAUACCGGUGGGCGAAAGGCGGCCCCUGGGACAAAGACUGACGCUCAUGUGCGAAAGCGUGGGGAGCAAACAGGGAUUAGAUACC